CCCCAUUUAAGUGCUGACUGCCACUGAGGAAAGAUCUUUUUCUGGAGAUUGGUCCUCAUGGAAUUUAUUUUUAUUUACAUCAUAUAAGAAAGCUUCUUCAGACCCACGCUUUCUGCUUCAUUUCAUCAUCAAGUGCUACCUGCAAACUCUGGCACCACUCAGGAAGGCCUGGCCAUUGCUGGAGGAGCUCAGUCAUGGCCUGUGUGAGGACAUGUGCAGAGGCAGCGGUCACCCUCCUGCUCUCUGGAAGUCAUUGCACGGAAAGCACUUGGAGACCCUCAUGAUCAGAAAAAUGGCAAGAGGAGUCAAAACUAACAUCCAAGAAAUGCUAAUAAAGCAGAAGAAACCAAAGCAAACAGAAGCUAGAGGGCACAGAUCUCAUGAUUGCUACCCUGAAAAACCUGCUGUGUGCCAGAUCCACAGGUGUGUGCGGCUGAAUGGUCAUCCUUCUGGUGGAAUGCAAAUGUGAACUACUCCAAAAGGUUUUCUAUUACUGCAUCUCUUGAUGUCUGUGUUGGAAAGUUGAGCUGCCAUGAAGAUCUCCAUGAGUUGUUAAAUCCACUGGGGUCAUGCUGGAGGGUUAUUGCUUAUUGUUUUUUGAAGGAGGUAGAACCAGCUCCAAACACUGUGCAGCACUGAAUGUGAACUAAUAUUUGGGACAGCAAGGAAAUCCAAUGUGUGUCUGAAUUGAGAUUCUUUCAUAGGCCUUCUGAAAGCAAUUCUGAGCAUGUUUUGAGCUGCUUUCUCUCUGAUUCUGUAAA
Molecule: long non-coding RNA, 761 nt
Organism: Lagopus muta (rock ptarmigan)
Lineage: Eukaryota; Metazoa; Chordata; Aves; Galliformes; Phasianidae
Exons: 5
Source: RefSeq, a predicted model, not a curated record